Molecule: unclassified non-coding RNA, 293 nt
Filed under: Hevea brasiliensis (rubber tree)
Lineage: Eukaryota; Viridiplantae; Streptophyta; Magnoliopsida; Malpighiales; Euphorbiaceae
Source: RNAcentral
AAUAUAAUAACAAUUUUAUUUUAAGUUCUCCCUAAUUGAAUAGGCUACUUGCUGAAGAUAAACUGUUUUUGAUAGGAUUAAUCUGUUUUAACACACUUACUAUAACAAAUAGCUAAGUUUAGUUUGAUGUGUGUUUAACCUUAUCAUCAUACAACUAUAAAUAUUAUUAUUUGCACAACAAUACACAUCAGUUAAAGGUGUACAAGUCACUUUCUUCAGUUUUGUGAUAUGCAUUUUGUUUGAUUUAUGAAGAUAAUUGAGUUGAUGACUUGAUGUGGUCUUCCUUGCAAUUA